Molecule: transfer RNA, 76 nt
Filed under: Porphyromonas sp. KLE 1280
Lineage: Bacteria; Pseudomonadati; Bacteroidota; Bacteroidia; Bacteroidales; Porphyromonadaceae
Description: tRNA-Phe
Rfam family: tRNA
About the family: Transfer RNA (tRNA) molecules are approximately 80 nucleotides in length. Their secondary structure includes four short double-helical elements and three loops (D, anti-codon, and T loops).
Source: RNAcentral
GGUGCUAUAGCUCAGUUGGUAGAGCAAAGGACUGAAAAUCCUUGUGUCCCCGGUUCGAUUCCUGGUGGCACCACAA